AACGCUAGCGGCAGGCUUAACACAUGCAAGUCGAGGGGCAGCGGGGGAUAGUGCUUGCACUAUUCUGCCGGCGACCGGCGCACGGGUGAGUAACACGUAUGCAACCUGCCCUCUUCAGGGGGACAACCUUCCGAAAGGGAGGCUAAUCCCGCGUAUAUCCCUUAGGGGCAUCCAUAAGGGAGGAAAGAUUCAUCGGAAGAGGAUGGGCAUGCGGCGCAUUAGCCAGACGGCGGGGUAACGGCCCACCGUAGCGACGAUGCGUAGGGGUUCUGAGAGGAAGGUCCCCCACAUUGGUACUGAGACACGGACCAAACUCCUACGGGAGGCAGCAGUGAGGAAUAUUGGUCAAUGGGAGCGAUCCUGAACCAGCCAAGCCGCGUGAGGGAAGACGGCCCUAUGGGUUGUAAACCUCUUUUGUCGGAGAACAACAGCCGGUACGCGUAUCGGUUUGAGUGUAUCCGAAGAAAAAGCAUCGGCUAACUCCGUGCCAGCAGCCGCGGUAAUACGGAGGAUGCGAGCGUUAUCCGGAUUUAUUGGGUUUAAAGGGUGCGUAGGCGGAUAGUUAAGUCAGCGGUAAAAUUUCGGGGCUCAACCCCGUAAAGCCGUUGAAACUGGCAGUCUUGAGUUGGCGAGAAGUACGCGGAAUGCGCGGUGUAGCGGUGAAAUGCAUAGAUAUCGCGCAGAACUCCGAUUGCGAAGGCAGCGUACCGGCGCCACACUGACGCUGAGGCACGAAAGCGUGGGGAUCGAACAGGAUUAGAUACCCUGGUAGUCCACGCAGUAAACGAUGAAUGCUGGUUGUCCGGGCAGAUUGAUGUCUGGGCGGCGAAGUGAAAGCGAUAAGCAUUCCACCUGGGGAGUACGCCGGCAACGGUGCAACUCAAAUGAAUUGACGGA
This 897-nucleotide ribosomal RNA is filed under the name uncultured Bacteroidota bacterium. Its description in RNAcentral is "bacterial SSU rRNA". It matches the Rfam family "Bacterial small subunit ribosomal RNA", at positions 32 to 917 of the family's 1533-position model. The record is from RNAcentral. Lineage: Bacteria; Pseudomonadati; Bacteroidota.